UGGGGCGUCGUCAAGCGGUAAGACACAGGGCUUUGGUCCCUGCAUCCUAGGUUCGAAUCCUAGCGCCCCAG
This 71-nucleotide transfer RNA is filed under the name Candidatus Falkowbacteria bacterium RIFOXYA2_FULL_35_8. RNAcentral describes it as "tRNA-Gln". It matches the Rfam family "tRNA". Rfam says of the family: Transfer RNA (tRNA) molecules are approximately 80 nucleotides in length. RNAcentral also lists the same sequence under 3 other names. Lineage: Bacteria; Candidatus Falkowiibacteriota. The record is from RNAcentral.